Molecule: ribosomal RNA, 480 nt
Filed under: uncultured Saprospiraceae bacterium
Lineage: Bacteria; Pseudomonadati; Bacteroidota; Saprospiria; Saprospirales; Saprospiraceae
Description: bacterial SSU rRNA
Rfam family: Bacterial small subunit ribosomal RNA
Source: RNAcentral
GAUGAACGCUAGCGGGAGGCUUAAUACAUGCAAGUCGAGCGAGAAACUUUCCUUCGGGAGAGCGGACAGCGGCGCACGGGUGAGUAACGCGUACGCAAUCUACCUCUUAAUGGGGAAUAGCCCCGGGAAACUGGGAUUAAUGCCCCAUAGUAUUAUUGAUUGGCAUCAAUUGAUAAUUAAAGUUCCGACGUUAAGAGAUGAGCGUGCGUACUAUUAGCUAGUUGGUAAGGUAACGGCUUACCAAGGCUACGAUAGUUAGGGGGCGUGAGAGCGUGACCCCCCACACGGGUACUGAGACACGGACCCGACUCCUACGGGAGGCAGCAGUAAGGAAUAUUGGACAAUGGGCGCAAGCCUGAUCCAGCCAUCCCGCGUGCAGGAAGACGGCCCUCUGGGUUGUAAACUGCUUUUAUAUGAGAAGAAACCCCGGGAUUUAUCCCGGGCUGACGGUACCAUAAGAAUAAGCACCGGCUAACUCCG